UGCUCCGCCCCACCGCAUGGUGGGGUGGGAAAUGCUUUUUGCGGCAUGGGAUGGGGUCGCGUCCUAUCAGCUUGUUGGCGGGGUGAUGGCCCACCAAGGCGUUGACGGGUAGCCGGCCUGAGAGGGUGACCGGCCACAUUGGGACUGAGAUACGGCCCAGACUCCUACGGGAGGCAGCAGUGGGGAAUAUUGCACAAUGGGCGCAAGCCUGAUGCAGCGACGCCGCGUGCGGGAUGGAGGCCUUCGGGUUGUAAACCGCUUUUGUUCAAGGGCAAGGCACGGCUUCGGGCCGUGUUGAGUGGAUUGUUCGAAUAAGCACCGGCUAACUACGUGCCAGCAGCCGCGGUAAUACGUAGGGUGCGAGCGUUAUCCGGAUUUAUUGGGCGUAAAGGGCUCGUAGGCGGUUCGUCGCGUCCGGUGUGAAAGUCCAUCGCCUAACGGUGGAUCUGCGCCGGGUACGGGCGGGCUGGAGUGCGGUAGGGGAGACUGGAAUUCCCGGUGUAACGGUGGAAUGUGUAGAUAUCGGGAAGAACACCAAUGGCGAAGGCAGGUCUCUGGGCCGUUACUGACGCUGAGGAGCGAAAGCGUGGGGAGCGAACAGGAUUAGAUACCCUGGUAGUCCACGCCGUAAACGAUGAUUGCUAGGUGUAGGUGGGUAUGGACCCAUCGGUGCCGCAGCUAACGCAAUAAGCAAUCCACCUGGGGAGUACGUUCGCAAGAAUGAAACUCAAAGGAGUUGACGGGGACCCGCACAAGCGGCGGAGCAUGCGGAUUAAUUCGAUGCAACGCGAAGAACCUUACCUGGGCUUGACAUGUUCCCGACGGUCGUAGAGAUGCGGCUUCCCUUCGGGGCGGGUUCACAGGUGGUGCAUGGUCGUCGUCAGCUCGUGUCGUGAGAUGUUGGGUUAAGUCCCGCAACGAGCGCAACCCUCGCCCCGUGUUGCCAGCGGAUUAUGCCGGGAACUCACGGGGAACCGCCGGGGUUAACUCGGAGGAAGGUGGGGAUGACGUCAGAUCAUCAUGCCCCUUACGUCCAGGGCUUCACGCAUGCUACAAUGGCCGGUACAACGGGAUGCGACGCGGCGACGCGGAGCGGAUCCCUGAAAACCGGUCUCAGUUCGGAUCGCAGUCUGCAACUCGACUGCGUGAAGGCGGAGUCGCUAGUAAUCGCGAAUCAGCAACGU
This 1184-nucleotide ribosomal RNA is filed under the name uncultured Bifidobacterium sp. Its description in RNAcentral is "bacterial SSU rRNA". It matches the Rfam family "Bacterial small subunit ribosomal RNA", at positions 173 to 1357 of the family's 1533-position model. Lineage: Bacteria; Bacillati; Actinomycetota; Actinomycetes; Bifidobacteriales; Bifidobacteriaceae. The record is from RNAcentral.